Long non-coding RNA from Ipomoea triloba (trilobed morning glory), 4340 nucleotides. RefSeq lists it as uncharacterized. Lineage: Eukaryota; Viridiplantae; Streptophyta; Magnoliopsida; Solanales; Convolvulaceae. The transcript is spliced from 2 exons. The record is from RefSeq and is a predicted model, not a curated record.
UAUUGAAUUAUUGAUGUAAUAUUAUAUUCCUGUGGGGUCAGGUCCUACACCUAUAUAAAGGACCCUAACCCUUCAAACUUAUUCAUUCGAUUCAUUCCCUUCAGAAUCAAUUCAAAGGCUAAUCAAAGCCAAUUCCUUGAGUUAUCAUUCGUAGAUAGAUUUUAUUUUACAGCAUUCCUAGAGUUAUCAUUCGUAGAUAGAUUUUAUUUUAUUUUACAGCAAUCCAAUUUUCAUUUUAAGGUGGUGUUGGCCUGCCUUUGGCUACCCCGUAGUCAUAAAACCAACAUUAGCGCCGUCCGUGGGGAACGCUACAAAAAGCCGUGUUCUCCUUCAAUAACAGAAAUUAUCAAAACUUAGCUAGGAUUUGAACUCCUCUCUUCUUAUUCAAAUUGUAAUCUCAUUUCCAUCAGACCACUAUCACCUCUAUGACAUUCAUCAUCAUGAUGAUUAUCAUUAUACUAUCAUCAUCUCAUCAAUCAUCAUCAAUCAUUAACAACGGCCGCCGAUCACCAGAAGAACACAAGGCCGCCGAUUCACCAUCUUCAACCGGAUAUCUACUACGCCAUCAACCAAGCUUUACCGUCGAUCUGACGGACCACCGCCUCAACCCACGGAAAACGAUCGACGGAGAGAGAGAAGGCCGGAGGCUCGUGGUUGCUGAGGUCGCUAAGAAGUAAGAACUCGCCGGGAAGAAGAAAAAGGAAAGAAGAGGGUUGAAAUCGCCAUAGCUGAAACCAAUCCGCUAUCCACCGCUGGGCUGCCACGCCAUCGGAGUUGCCGCCUGGAUUGCCUCGCUGGAACUUCACCGUCGUAGCUGCUGUGUUCACUGCGCCGACCUCCCUUCCAGCCAAAGCCGCCACCCGCCGCCAUAGGCCGUCAUGUUGCUACGCCACCGUCGAAAUGGUGACUAACCGGAGCCAGCAUGUCUGCGGCACCAUCGCCCCCAGGAUCGUUUUCUUGUAAAUCGAGGCGUCGCUCGCUCCGCUAUUGAAAAAUCUCGGCCAAAGUAGCUGUAGUUUGAGAAGGGUGAAAAGCAGAUAACAGAGGUCACUGGAUCUCCUCAUCGCUGAUCGACGCUGCUGUUGUUGGUUGGGUGGAGUGACACCGAAGGCUACCAUCAUCUUCAAGCCGCUACAUGGGUCACUGGAUCUCAUCGUCGCUGCCAUCGAUCGUCACCGUCGGAGCCGGUGACGGUAGCUGUGGUGAGAUGAUGGUGCGGCGGUUCAGGGACAGAGAAACAAUGGAGUUGUGCAAUAAUUGAUGAUGACGAGGCCAUGAUGGAUUGAUGAUGGGAACCCACGAAGACGAAGAUCCCAACAGUGAUUGAGGAAGGCAAUAACAAAUCCUCGAAGGCAUAGCUUGCACGGUUCCUCGGAGUCGGACUUGCACGGUUCCACGGAGUCGGACUUGCACGGUUCCCCAGAGUUGGACUUGCACGGUUCCCCAGAGUUGGACUUGCACGGUUCCCCAGAGUUGGACUUGCAUGGUUCCCCAGAGUUGGACUUGCACGGUUCCUCGGAGUUGGACUUGAAUGAUUCCUCGGAAUUGGACUUGUACAAUUUCUUAGAGUCGGAGUUACAUCGUUCCUCAGGGAUGGACCUGAAUGGUUCCCUAGAGAUGGACCUGCACGGUUUCUCGAAAAGCAGACUUGCACGGUUCUCCAAUGGUGGACUUUCGUGGUUCUCUAAAAAUCAGAUUUGCACAGAUCUGAGAUCUACAGACAGUCAAAUAUAUCAGAAUGCAGAUUUGUACGGUUCCUAGAGUCAGAUUUGCACAAGUCCCUGGAAUUGGAUGUGCGUAGAUCCAAGAUUUGCAGCCGGUCGAAUAUAUCAAGUACAUCAAUUAAGUACAAUAAAAGGCGACGGUGUUCGAUCUUCCCACCAAGAAAGGAGAAUGAAUAGUUCCAGAGAUAGCGGGCGAGCAAUCCUGAACAAUGAGUCUCCUAUCAAAUGAUGAUCUACCCAUCAAAGAUGCCUUCGUACACAGGCAAUGAAUUGGAUAUUCCAUCAAAGUUGAGAGAGGUAAAAGUUAUUAAAUGAGUUAUUUAUUUAUACUUUUACGAGUUAAUAACUCUUUUGUGAAAAUAUUACACUCAAAUUAUAUGGUGGAAAAAUAGAUCCUAUGGAUUUCCCUAGACCCUACGGAGUCCUUCAUUCAAACUGUAGAAUGGAAAUUGGACCAUAUGGAGUCCUCCAUUCAAAUUGUAGAAUGGAAAUUGGACCCUACGGAGUCCUCCAUUCGAAUCAUAGAAUGGAAAGCGGACCCUACGGAGUCCUCCAUUCAAGUUAUAGAAUGAAAAAUGGACCCUACGGAGUCCUCCACUCGUAUUGUAGUACGGGAUACAAAUCCUAAGGAGUUCACCCAUUUUUAUUCCGAGGAUAUGCGACUCAGAACAAGUGGAUACCCCUCUCGAAAAUAUAUACUUUUAUUCCGCUUCUUAGCGAUGUCGCUUUUUAGCGAUGAACAUAUUCCGCUUCUCAGCGAUGAAUCUAUACCGCUUCUCAGCGAUGGCGCUUUUCAGCGAUGAAUUUGUUCCGCUUUUCAGCGAUGAAUCUAUACCGCUUCUCAGCGAUGCCGCUUUUUCUAUUCCGCUUUUCAGCGAUGAAUUUAUACCGCUUUUCAGCGAUGAAUCUAUUCCGCUUCUCAGCGAUGUCGCUUUUCAGCGAUGAAUUUAUCUCGCUUGUUAGCAAUGCCGCUUUUCAGCGAUGAAUCUAUUUCGCUUCUCACUGAUACCGCUUUUCAGCGAUGAGUCUAUCCUGCUUCUUAGCGGUCAACAUGUGUAUCUUAUAUUCUUGUUCCUUAACAAGUAUAAAUUUGGGUGGUAUACUAGCCACUUAAAUGAUAUGAUAAAUUAGAAUGAUCUAUCGUAAAAGGGUCGGGAUACAACAAAAUUAUCCCUUAGAGAGAAGGUGGUUGAUUAUACAAAAUUCUGAUCGUAUGGUCAAAGUGAAUGGUAACCGGAACCAUUCAAACUUAUUGGUGGGCAAAUUAGUAGUUCGGUUUUGGACCGAGGAUGGCAAAGAAGGAGGAUGGUAAAUUGUAAUCAGCUGCGGGCUGAGGAUGGUUAGGAGCGCUCACAGAAACGGAGACCUGAGCAGUUGAUCUAAGCAGCACUUAACCUUUUUGCUUUCAUCUUUUAUUUUGCAAAUGUCAAUGACAGUAGUUCAUAAGAAAGGUUGCAACCUAUUAGGAAAACAAGAUUAAUAGAAAACUAAGUAUUCAGGAAAGGCAUGCAUUGCAUCGUUUGCAUUAUUGUGGUUUUAAGUUUUGCAGGAUGAUAUAUGGUUGGCAUAUAUACCACCCCCGGUUAUUAAUGCUAUAUUCUCUCACCUCUCGGUGAUCGACACAUACAUACCACCCCUAGUGGUUACUAUCUUUUCUCACCUCUCGAUGAUCAACAUGCAUACCACCCUCGGUGGUCGAUAUUAUUUCAACCGCUCGAAGGCGAUAUUAUUUCCGCUACUCGGCAAAUGGUAUUUUCUUAGCAAAAGGAAACUCAUGAUUGGAGAAGUUUUCCCCGAUCCAGGACUGUGAGCUAAUAUCCAUGGGUUAUCUGCCACCAAAUUGCUCAAAUUGAACCCUUAACUCGGAAAGUUUUCACUUGGUCCUGAAUCCUUGGAUGUUCAAUCUUCAUACCGAUAAGUUCUUGCAUUCUUUGCACUCCUUGAAAAUUUGUCAAUAUACAAUGCAAGAUCCGUGCUCGUUACCUGACAGAAGACUCAUUUGAAGAUCCAGCCAAAGGAAGCAACAUGAUUCCAUAAACAAUUCAAGAAGAUCCCUCAAAGUCCUAAAGAUUGCGCUCAUGGUUGUACUCUUUUUCCCUUAGCUAAGUUUUUUUUCCCACUGGGUUUUUCUUGGUCUAAGGUUUUUAACGAGGCAACCAGCGUAAAUCACACCCCUUAUACUCAACUCGGACUCAAGGGGCUCAACAUGGACUAUUAAGAUGUUCGUAGCAAACACAGACUUGGUAUUUGUUUUCUACUUUCUUAUGCCAUCACUUCAUGAGCCACAAGAAAGUGAGGGACUGGAUGUUGGAUAUGGUACUACGGCCCAUAAAGAUAUGAGGCCCAAAAUAUAUGGUUAUCCAGAUCAUACAUGAAGCUCAAUCAGAACUACAGCUCAGUCCAAGAUCAACCCCGAAUUAAAUAUUAUUUGUAUUGAAUUAUUGUAUUGAAUUAUUAUUGAAUUAUUGUAUUGAAUUAUUGAUGUAAUAUUAUAUUCCUGUGGGGUCAGGUCCUACACCUAUAUAAAGGACCCUAACCCUUCAAACUUAUUCAUUCGAUUCAUUCCCUUCAGAAUCAAUUCAAAGGCUAAUCAAAGCCAAUUUCUUCUUUCUCCUA